Cydia strobilella is the source of this 255-nucleotide long non-coding RNA. RefSeq lists it as uncharacterized. The record is from RefSeq and is a predicted model, not a curated record. The transcript has 3 exons. Lineage: Eukaryota; Metazoa; Arthropoda; Insecta; Lepidoptera; Tortricidae.
UGCAUAGCAGCUCUGUGAACAUUACGCCAAAAUGGCGACCAGUCGUCACUGAGGAACAAGCUCACGCCCUGAAGUAUUACAAACGCAGGAACUCCAUAGAUAAAAAAGUUUAUCACAAACCCAGAAAAGUGAAACAAGAAAAGGACUCGAAUUCGCAAACAAACUCGAAUAUGUGGUCCAGUGUUUUUUCGAGCAGCUAUUGAUUUAUUUAUAAAAUGUGAAAGUUUUGUGUCAUUAAAUAAAGUAUGUAACUAG